Molecule: long non-coding RNA, 663 nt
Filed under: Nicotiana benthamiana
Lineage: Eukaryota; Viridiplantae; Streptophyta; Magnoliopsida; Solanales; Solanaceae
Description: long non-coding RNA (NBEN_LNC019834)
Source: RNAcentral
GUAUUGAGUGUUUUGUAAACACUUGUUGCAAGAGGGAACAUUGUAUUUCUUCUUGAGAAGUCUUAGGGAUAGGUUUCCUUAAGCAAGGUUAUUUGAGGCUUGUGUGAUUCAAGUUCUCAAGUUGUAACGGUUUGUUAGGCACCCGGAAGCUUAACAGGGAAGUCUUGGGGUGAGGUAUCCUCAAGCAGGUGUUUGAGAUUUGUUGGAUUCAAGUCUCAAGUGUAAAGGUUUGUUGAGCACCCGUAAGCUCGACAGGGUUUAGUGGAAAUCUCGAGAGAGUCUCUCGGGGACUGGACUAGCGUGUAACGGUUUGUUGAGCACCCGUAAGCUCGACAGGGUUUAGUGAAAAUCUCGAGAGAGUCUCUUGGGGACUGGACUAACCACAGGGUUGUGGCGAACCAGGAUACAUCGUUGUGUUCUUUCCUUGCUCUCUUUAAUUUUCGUACUGAUUUAAUUCCUGCAGUAUUUUAUUUACGCAACAGAAUUUUUAAUUCCGCAUAAUUUUUGUAAAACGCUAUUCACCCCCCCUCUAGCGUUGAGCACGUAUCCUAACAAAGUAUUCAUAAUGCCAAAGAAGGUGUUGAAGGUUAUUGAAGCAAUUUGUAGGUCCUUCCUAUGGACAGGCAGUGCAUCUGUGUCUAAAAGGGCUUUGGUUGUAUGGGA